This 539-nucleotide ribosomal RNA is filed under the name uncultured bacterium. Its description in RNAcentral is "bacterial SSU rRNA". It matches the Rfam family "Bacterial small subunit ribosomal RNA", at positions 355 to 894 of the family's 1533-position model. The record is from RNAcentral.
UAGGGAAUAUUGGGCAAUGGGCGGAGGCCUGACCCAGCCAUGCCGCGUGCAGGAAGACGGCGUUCUGCGUUGUAAACUGCUUUUAUACGGGAAGAAAAGGCCCAUGCGUGGGACAUUGCCGGUACCGUAUGAAUAAGCACCGGCUAACUCCGUGCCAGCAGCCGCGGUAAUACGGAGGGUGCAAGCGUUGUCCGGAUUUAUUGGGUUUAAAGGGUGCGUAGGCGGCCGAUUAAGUCAGCGGUGAAAGUUUAUGGCUCAACCAUGAAAUUGCCGUUGAUACUGGUUGGCUUGAGUGUCGAUGGGGUACAUGGAAUUUAUGGUGUAGCGGUGAAAUGCAUAGAUACCAUAAGGAACACCGAUAGCGAAGGCAUUGUACUUAUCGACAACUGACGCUGAGGCACGAAAGCGCGGGUAGCGAACAGGAUUAGAUACCCUGGUAGUCCGCGCCGUAAACGAUGAUCACUCGCUGUCAUGCCUAUAUGGUGUGGUGGCCAACCGAAAGCUGUAAGUGAUCCAACCUGGGGAGUACGCCGCAAGGU